Molecule: ribosomal RNA, 523 nt
Filed under: Theloderma baibungense (Baibung small treefrog)
Lineage: Eukaryota; Metazoa; Chordata; Amphibia; Anura; Rhacophoridae
Description: partial large subunit ribosomal RNA
Rfam family: Bacterial large subunit ribosomal RNA
Source: RNAcentral
CCGCGGUACCCUAACCGCGCGAAGGUAGCAUAAUCACUUGUCCUCUAAAUAAGGACUUGUAUCAACGGCACCACGAGGGUUGCACUGUCUCCUCCCUCUAAUCAGAGAAACUGAUCUCCCCGAUGAAGAAGCGGGGAUAAAACUAUAAGACGAGAAGACCCCAUGGAGCUUCAAACUGAACAGCAACUUAAUUACUUAUUUCCCCAUAUAAUAAAGGUAUGCCUGUAAGUUUUGGGUUGGGGCGACCGCGGAGAACAAAAUAACCUCCACAGCGAAAAGAACUAAACCUUUAUCUAAGAGCCACCCCUCAAAGAAUUAGCACCCUAACGUAUAAUGACCCGAUUAUCGAUCAACGAACCAAGUUACCCUGGGGAUAACAGCGCAAUCUACUCCAAGAGCCCCUAUCGACGAGUAGGCUUACGACCUCGAUGUUGGAUCAGGGUAUCCCAGUGGUGCAGCCGCUACUAACGGUUCGUUUGUUCAACGAUUAAAACCCUACGCUGCAUCUGAGUUCAAACCGGAG